RNAcentral lists this ribosomal RNA (1370 nucleotides) under uncultured bacterium. RNAcentral describes it as "bacterial SSU rRNA". It matches the Rfam family "Bacterial small subunit ribosomal RNA", at positions 28 to 1381 of the family's 1533-position model. The record is from RNAcentral.
GAUGAACGCUGGCGGCGUGCCUAAUACAUGCAAGUCGAGCGAACGGACGAGAAGCUUGCUUCUCUGAUGUUAGCGGCGGACGGGUGAGUAACACGUGGAUAACCUACCUAUAAGACUGGGAUAACUUCGGGAAACCGGAGCUAAUACCGGAUAAUAUUUUGAACCGCAUGGUUCAAAAGUGAAAGACGGUCUUGCUGUCACUUAUAGAUGGAUCCGCGCUGCAUUAGCUAGUUGGUAAGGUAACGGCUUACCAAGGCAACGAUGCAUAGCCGACCUGAGAGGGUGAUCGGCCACACUGGAACUGAGACACGGUCCAGACUCCUACGGGAGGCAGCAGUAGGGAAUCUUCCGCAAUGGGCGAAAGCCUGACGGAGCAACGCCGCGUGAGUGAUGAAGGUCUUCGGAUCGUAAAACUCUGUUAUUAGGGAAGAACAUAUGUGUAAGUAACUGUGCACAUCUUGACGGUACCUAAUCAGAAAGCCACGGCUAACUACGUGCCAGCAGCCGCGGUAAUACGUAGGUGGCAAGCGUUAUCCGGAAAUAUUGGGCGUAAAGCGCGCGUAGCGGUUUUUUAGUCUGAUGUGAAAGCCCACGGCUCAACCGUGGAGGGUCAUUGGAAACUGGAAAACUUGAGUGCAGAAGAGGAAAGUGGAAUUCCAUGUGUAGCGGUGAAAUGCGCAGAGAUAUGGAGGAACACCAGUGGCGAAGGCGACUUUCUGGUCUGUAACUGACGCUGAUGUGCGAAAGCGUGGGGAUCAAACAGGAUUAGAUACCCUGGUAGUCCACGCCGUAAACGAUGAGUGCUAAGUGUUAGGGGGUUUCCGCCCCUUAGUGCUGCAGCUAACGCAUUAAGCACUCCGCCUGGGGAGUACGACCGCAAGGUUGAAACUCAAAGGAAUUGACGGGGACCCGCACAAGCGGUGGAGCAUGUGGUUUAAUUCGAAGCAACGCGAAGAACCUUACCAAAUCUUGACAUCCUUUGACAACUCUAGAGAUAGAGCUUUCCCCUUCGGGGGACAAAGUGACAGGUGGUGCAUGGUUGUCGUCAGCUCGUGUCGUGAGAUGUUGGGUUAAGUCCCGCAACGAGCGCAACCCUUAAGCUUAGUUGCCAUCAUUAAGUUGGGCACUCUAAGUUGACUGCCGGUGACAAACCGGAGGAAGGUGGGGAUGACGUCAAAUCAUCAUGCCCCUUAUGAUUUGGGCUACACACGUGCUACAAUGGACAAUACAAAGGGCAGCGAAACCGUGAGGUCAAGCAAAUCCCAUAAAGUUGUUCUCAGUUCGGAUUGUAGUCUGCAACUCGACUACAUGAAGCUGGAAUCGCUAGUAAUCGUAGGUCAGCAUGCUACGGUGAAUACGUUCCCGGGUCU